AGCAUCUAAGCGGGAAGCCUACCUCAAGAUAAGAUUUCCCCGAGACUUUAUGUCUCCUAAAGAGCCGUUGAAGACUACGACGUUGAUAGGUUGGAUGUGGAAGCAUAGUGAUAUGUGAAGCUGACCAAUACUAAUUGCUCGUGAGGCUUGACUAUACAACACCCAAACAGUUG
This 173-nucleotide ribosomal RNA is filed under the name Acinetobacter sp. AR2-3. RNAcentral's name for it is "partial 23S ribosomal RNA". The stretch from base 1 to 155 matches the Rfam family "Bacterial large subunit ribosomal RNA", at positions 2776 to 2925 of the family's 2925-position model. The record is from RNAcentral. Lineage: Bacteria; Pseudomonadati; Pseudomonadota; Gammaproteobacteria; Moraxellales; Moraxellaceae.